Molecule: long non-coding RNA, 1081 nt
Organism: Monodelphis domestica (gray short-tailed opossum)
Lineage: Eukaryota; Metazoa; Chordata; Mammalia; Didelphimorphia; Didelphidae
Source: RefSeq, a predicted model, not a curated record
CUGGUUCCACUUGGCAAGAUGAAGGGAUCUCUUUGUGAAAUAGGGGAAUAAGUCAUAGGAAUUGAGUAGACUAAGGAUUUGACAAGGACAAAGAACAGGGUAAAAGGAUCAUAAGAUGGAAAGAUGGAAUGGUGAAAUGUUAUGAUCAGAUAAAGAAAUGUCAGAGUUCAUCAAAGUGAAACACCUGCAGAUGAUGGCAAAAUCAAGGGUAUAAUCAUCUCUUUAUGUAGCUGAGGUAAAAUUGCAUAGUUGAUCAUGAGAACCAAGCAGAAUGGGGUAUUGGGUAGUUGGUGUAGUUGAGGGAAUAACAACAUAGAUUGACAAGACAGACACAGGCACUGAACUCUUUGAGAAAGGAAGGAAAAUGUCUUAUGGUUUGGUAGAAAAUAGUAACCAGAAUUCGAAUUGAGUGAUAAAUUUGGGUUGAAUGAAAUGUUAAAGGGAGAGAAAUUACUAAACAAGGUGGUAGAGAAAGCAUUUGGAAGUGACAACAAGAAGCAGGGAUUAUUUCAACUCCUCUGCUAUGAUCAGUGAAUCACGGGGGAAUGAGUAAAAAUGCAACCAAUACUGGAAAGGAGGGCUAGGAAUAUAGUGUCAACAGGAUGGAACUAAAUCUCACUGGGUGUGGGUUUUGCUCUGCCUACAAUUCCAAGCAGAAGGAGGAAUUUUGCUCUAAGACAUUCUCCCUGGACAGUCAGAAUUUUCGUGGAGAAAAUCUUUGGCAUGCAGGUAGAGGGUUUACUUGGAAGAAACUAAUUUCCCUGAGUCCAGUUAUCAUCUGGCAGUGGUCCAUAUACCAGGAUUCCUAUUGGCUAAGGUGAAAUGAGGGUUGGAGGAGGAAGCACCCUCUCUUCCUUUGCCAGAUAAAAUGUCAGUUCACUUGCCCCCAAAUAAAGACAGAAAUGAAAAGUAAUAAGGUCAUCUCUACAUCAGCCAAUUAUCACAAAAGAUUUUUCUUUUUUUUUUUUUGUAAUCAAUAACCUUGACAAAAUAUGUCCUGGAUCAGGAGUAUUUCAGAAAGCCUGGGCUUCACUUGCAACUGAAUAUUCAAUUUGAUAUAAAUAAACAAAUAUUCAUUAAC